GAUGAAGAACGUAGCGAAAUGCGAUAAGUAGUGUGAAUUGCAGAAUUCAGUGAAUCAUCGAAUCUUUGAACGCACAUUGCGCCCCUUGGUAUUCCAUGGGGCAUGCCUGUUCGAGCGUCAUUUGUACCUUCAAGCUUUGCUUGGUGUUGGGUGUUUGUCCAUUCUCUUGCAGAGGGACUCGCCUUAAAGUAAUUGGCAGCCAGUGUUUUGGUUUUGAAGCGCAGCACAAGUCGCGAUUCAAAGCUAUACGCCCGCUUCCACAAGCCUUUUUCACUUUUGACCUCGGAUCAGGUAGGGAUACCCGCUGAACUUAAGCAUAUCAAUAAGCGGAGA
This 333-nucleotide unclassified non-coding RNA is filed under the name soil metagenome. RNAcentral describes it as "partial contains 5.8S ribosomal RNA, internal transcribed spacer 2, and large subunit ribosomal RNA". The stretch from base 1 to 120 matches the Rfam family "5.8S ribosomal RNA", at positions 35 to 154 of the family's 154-position model. The record is from RNAcentral.